CUCACCAGGUCAGGACACGGUAAGGAUUGACGGACUGAAGGCUCUUUCUCGAUUCCGUGGAAAGUGGUGCAUUGGGCCGUUUUUGGUUGGUGGAUCGAUCCGUCUGGUUAAUUCCGUUAACGAACGAGACCUCGGCACUCCGAAUAGCGCGGCGGACGUCGCGGCCUCCGGGCCGUCUUCCGCACGAGCUUCUUAGAGGGACCGUCCCCCGCCGGGGAAGGAGGUGCGAGGCAACGACAGGUCUGUGAUGCCCUUAGAUGUUCUGGGCCGCACGCGCAUUACACUGACGCGUCCAACGGGUGACUCCCGACCCGAAGGGGCCGGGGAAUCCGCAAGGCGCGUCGUGAUGGGGAUUGAACGUUGCAAUUGUUGUUCACGAACGAGGAAUUCCUAGUAGGCGCGGGUCAUCAACCCCGCGCCGAUUACGUCCCUGCCCUUUGUACACACCGCCCG
RNAcentral lists this ribosomal RNA (453 nucleotides) under uncultured eukaryote. RNAcentral's name for it is "bacterial SSU rRNA". It matches the Rfam family "Eukaryotic small subunit ribosomal RNA", at positions 1214 to 1675 of the family's 1831-position model. The record is from RNAcentral.